RNAcentral lists this ribosomal RNA (254 nucleotides) under uncultured bacterium. RNAcentral's name for it is "partial 16S ribosomal RNA". It matches the Rfam family "Bacterial small subunit ribosomal RNA", at positions 524 to 776 of the family's 1533-position model. The record is from RNAcentral.
UACGUAGGGAGCGAGCGUUGUCCGGAUUCAUUGGGCGUAAAGAGCUCGUAGGCGGCUUGGUAAGUCGGAUGUGAAACCUCCAGGCUCAACCUGGAGUCGCCAUCCGAUACUGCCAUGGCUAGAGUCCGGUAGGGGCCCACGGAAUUCCUGGUGUAGCGGUGAAAUGCGCAGAUAUCAGGAGGAACACCAACGGCGAAAGCACUCUGCUGGGCCGACACUGACACUGAGAGACGAAAGCUAGGGGAGCGAAUGGG